UUUCGCAAUGCCCGAAAGGGUGACGAAGCGACGCCGCGUGGGUGAGGAAGGCCCUCGGGUUGUAAAGCCCUGUCAGGAGUUAAGAAAUGUAGAUACGCUAAUAUCGUGUCUAUUUGACAAAGGCUCCAAAGGAAGCCACGGCUAACUCUGUGCCAGCAGCCGCGGUAAUACAGAGGUGGCAAGCGUUGUUCGGAAUUAUUGGGCGUAAAGAGCACGUAGGUGGGUUUGUAAGUCAGAUGUGAAAGCCUUCUGUUCAACGGAAGAAUUGCAUCUGAAACUGCGAGUCUUGAGUGUAGGAGGGGAGAAUGGAACUUCUGGUGGAGCGGUGAAAUGCGUAGAUAUCAGAAGGAACGCCGGCGGCGAAAGCGACUCUCUGGUCCGAAACUGACGCUGAGUGUGCGAAAGCUAGGGGAGCAAACGGGAUUAGAUACCCCGGUAGUCCUAGCCGUAAACGAUGGGCACUAAGUAGAGGGGUUUU
Molecule: ribosomal RNA, 478 nt
Filed under: uncultured Methylomirabilota bacterium
Lineage: Bacteria; Methylomirabilota (SeqCode)
Description: bacterial SSU rRNA
Rfam family: Bacterial small subunit ribosomal RNA
Source: RNAcentral